This 301-nucleotide ribosomal RNA is filed under the name uncultured bacterium. RNAcentral's name for it is "partial 16S ribosomal RNA". It matches the Rfam family "Bacterial small subunit ribosomal RNA", at positions 509 to 808 of the family's 1533-position model. The record is from RNAcentral.
CAGUAGCCGCGGUAAUACGAGGGGGGCAAGCGUUGUUCGGAUUUAUUGGGCGUAAAGGGUGCGUAGGCGGUUUGGCAAGUCUUGUGUGAAAUCUUCGGGCUCAACCCGAAGCCUGCACGAGAAACUACCGGGCUUGAGUAUUGGAGAGGUGAGUGGAAUUUCCGGUGUAGCGGUGAAUGCGUAGAUAUCGGAAGGAACACCAGUGGCGAAGGCGGCUCACUGGACGACUGUUGACGCUGAGGUGCGAAAGCGUGGGGAGCAAACAGGAUUAGAUACCCCAGUAGUCCCUGUCUCUUAUACA